RNAcentral lists this transfer RNA (72 nucleotides) under Camelus bactrianus (Bactrian camel). It matches the Rfam family "tRNA". From Rfam's summary of the family: Transfer RNA (tRNA) molecules are approximately 80 nucleotides in length. Their secondary structure includes four short double-helical elements and three loops (D, anti-codon, and T loops). Further hydrogen bonds mediate the characteristic L-shaped molecular structure. tRNAs have two regions of fundamental functional importance: the anti-codon, which is responsible for specific mRNA codon recognition, and the 3' end, to which the tRNAs corresponding amino acid is attached (by aminoacyl-tRNA synthetases). tRNAs cope with the degeneracy of the genetic code in two manners: having more than one tRNA (with a specific anti-codon) for a particular amino acid; and 'wobble' base-pairing, i.e. permitting non-standard base-pairing at the 3rd anti-codon position. The record is from Rfam by way of RNAcentral. RNAcentral also lists the same sequence under 2 other names. Lineage: Eukaryota; Metazoa; Chordata; Mammalia; Artiodactyla; Camelidae.
AGGGUCAUGGCUCAGUGGUAGGGUGCAUGCUUAGCAUGCACGAGGACCUGGCUUCAAUCCCCAGUACCUCCA